UACGUAGGGUGCAAGCGUUGUCCGGAAUUAUUGGGCGUAAAGAGCUCGUAGGCGGCUUGUCACGUCGGGUGUGAAAGCCCGGGGCUUAACCCCGGGUCUGCAUUCGAUACGGGCUAGCUAGAGUGUGGUAGGGGAGAUCGGAAUUCCUGGUGUAGCGGUGAAAUGCGCAGAUAUCAGGAGGAACACCGGUGGCGAAGGCGGUUCUCUGGGCCUUACCUGACGCUGAGGAGCGAAAGCGUGGGGAGCAAACAGG
RNAcentral lists this ribosomal RNA (253 nucleotides) under uncultured bacterium. RNAcentral describes it as "partial 16S ribosomal RNA". It matches the Rfam family "Bacterial small subunit ribosomal RNA", at positions 524 to 776 of the family's 1533-position model. The record is from RNAcentral.